AAUCAACUUUUUAAAUCUGGGUGUGCCUGCUCAAAAUUUUAGUUUUUCUUUUUUACUUUUUCAGAUACUAAUUAUGGAAGGCUUCUUUGGGCAAACAAAGAGAGCUGCACUGAACUUCUUGAGACCCUUAAGAUCAGCUUAUCAACACACAUUCAAGCAUUACAGCGAUAAAACGUAUAGAUCGAAGGGCAGAGGUGAUAAUUAUUCGAACUCCUUGAAAAUACUACAUUCGCAAAUGAGUUUAAUAAGAAAUAGAAAACUAUACGAACG
Drosophila novamexicana is the source of this 270-nucleotide long non-coding RNA. RefSeq lists it as uncharacterized. The record is from RefSeq and is a predicted model, not a curated record. NCBI's taxonomy places the organism in Eukaryota, Metazoa, Arthropoda, Insecta, Diptera, Drosophilidae. The transcript has 3 exons.